AACCGUGAUUCCCCUAGUAACGGCGAGUGAAGAGGGAAAAGCUCAAAGUUGGAACCUGGCUGCCCUAGGCAGUCCGGAUUGUAAACUAAAGAGCGUGAUUCCAGGCAAGCCGGUUGACCAAGUCCUUUGGAAUGAGGCGCCACUGAGGGUGAGAGCCCCGUAAGUCGACUGAGCAUUUGUCUUUUGUGCUUCGCGUUCAAAGAGUCAGGUUGUUUGGGAAUGCAGCCUAAAGCUGGUGGUAAAUCCCACCUAAAGCUAAAUACAGGCGAGAGACCGAUAGCGAACAAGUACCGUGAGGGAAAGAUGAAAAGAACUUUGAAAAGAGAGUUAAACAGUAUGUGAAAUUGCCAAGAGGGAAGCAUUUGGAGUUAGAUUGACUAGGAGUUAAUCAGCUUGGUCUUUGGACUGGGUGUACUUGACUUCUUACAGUCUGCCAAUAGCAGUUAGUCCUAGUGGAAAAAACCAGAGGGAAGGUAGUCCUUCGGGAUGUUUAUAGACCUUUGGAAAAUACACUGGGAUUGACUGAGGAAUGCAGUAGAUGCCACUAAGGCUUCGUCUAGUGGGUGCUAGGCAAAGGUACUUGGUAUUUUCAGCUUGCUGAUGUGCUAGGUUACUCGAGUCUAGUCGCCUACUAGAAC
RNAcentral lists this ribosomal RNA (638 nucleotides) under Lichtheimia ramosa. RNAcentral's name for it is "eukaryotic LSU rRNA". It matches the Rfam family "Eukaryotic large subunit ribosomal RNA", at positions 67 to 613 of the family's 3401-position model. Lineage: Eukaryota; Fungi; Mucoromycota; Mucoromycetes; Mucorales; Lichtheimiaceae. The record is from RNAcentral.